Long non-coding RNA from Portunus trituberculatus (swimming crab), 626 nucleotides. RefSeq lists it as uncharacterized. The transcript is spliced from 2 exons. NCBI's taxonomy places the organism in Eukaryota, Metazoa, Arthropoda, Malacostraca, Decapoda, Portunidae. The record is from RefSeq and is a predicted model, not a curated record.
GUGAGAGGUGACACUUAUAUAAAGUUAAUCAUACAGUUAAGAGUGAGAGGUGACACUUAUAUAAAGUUAAUCAUACAGUUAAGAGUGAGAGGUGACACUUAUAUAAAGUUAAUCAUACAGUUAAGAGUGAGAGGUGACACGGAGUACUGACUUUGACUUCCAGAUAUCGCGGUGCAGCAAGAUGUUAUCAGCCUAACGUAGUACAUCUCGUGUUGGCGAUGAUACUACAGGUGAAGGGAAUGAGUGACGAGCUGCUGUUGUGUGGCACUGUGUGCCGCUCCUUCCUGUACGUACAUCUGUCACGACGUGAGAUCCACGCUCAAGGCGAGAGUUAACCAGAGUUCUCAGUCAUUCAUCGUUGUUUUCAGUAAACUCUGGAUCCUUUUGCCUACUUUUGUAUUUUUUGCUUGUUUUGACUCGAGGGAUCUUUGCCACUUUUACAUAAAAGAAGAAGACAAACUAUCUUUUCAUGUAACUUUAUUCGUUCAUAGGGUGUGUUUAUGUGUCAUAUUGUACUGUCUACGUAUUUUUAUAGAAACAUCGUUUUUUUUUUUUUUUAUAGUGAUCGAGCAUCUUUCAAACUAGCAUAGCCUUCGCGUCCACCGCCCUCGGUGCCACCGCGUUAA